AGAGAAGAAAAACUAGUAGUGCUGUUAUCGGCUCCGCGGUUUCACCGUCCGAGUGUUUUUAAUGUUGAAACUACUUCUCUACGGCGUCAAUGGCGAUACGAGAAACCGCUUAAAGAUUCUUUCUUUUGUUCUCUUUUUAAAAUUUUUUUUCCUAACUUUUUAAAACCCUACCCACUCCCCUUACUUCCAAGAACGUUUUGGUAGGUAGAAGAACUGAUAAUUCUGGGGAAUGAUGCUUACAAGUUUCAAAGGUCCUACAAUUUCUGGAGGAUUGACAAAUAGGAAGAGGGAAUGGAACAAGAUAAACAAGUCUACAAGCUCUCAUUCUUUAUUAAACCAAACUGAAUUUUGUAAAUUUAGGAAGGAAUUGGGCUGCGCAGAUGGUGUGCGAAACUGCCAUUUAUCUGCAGUACAUAGAAAUUCGUUGUUGUCACCUUUAGUGGCACAUAGAAAUUCCCGUUUUCCGGUGUUUCGCAAUCAGUUAAGGUCUGACUUUGGUGUGGAAGAUGUGGAGGAGAGACUUGCGUCGAACGAAGAAGAGGAUACUGCCCUGUUAAAUUCAACUGAAAAUGUCAAUGCCCGUGAAGUGACAGGAACAUCGGUGGAUGUCAAGAGGGAACUUAUUAUGCUUUCUCUGCCUGCGAUUGCUGGACAGGCUAUUGAUCCCUUAGCACAGCUGAUGGAGACAGCAUACAUUGGAAGAUUAAGUUCUGUGGCAUUGGCUUCAGCUGGUGUUUCCGUAUCAGUGUUUAACAUAAUAUCAAAGUUGUUUAAUAUGCCCCUCCUCAGUGUUGCUACUUCCUUUGUUGCUGAAGACAUCUCAAAGAACGCAGUUGAAAAUUUGUUAGCAGGGGAGCGUGCUAAUGGUAAGCCUCUGGAUAGUAUAGCUGAAAGAAAGCAAUUAUCCUCAGUGUCUACAGCUUUAGUUCUAGCAGUUUUGAUUGGCAUCUUUGAGGCCUUGGUAUUGUCUUUGGGAUCUGGACUAUUUCUUAAUUUCAUGGGAGUACCCUCUACAUCAGAUAUGCAUGCUCCAGCACAGCAAUUUCUUUCUCUUAGAGCUCUUGGUGCUCCUGCUGUGGUAGUCUCUUUGGCUCUUCAAGGAAUUUUUCGGGGGUUUAAAGAUACAAAGACUCCUGUUUUUUGUUUAGGUGUUGGUAAUUUAUUAGCCAUAUUCUUUUUCCCCCUAUUUAUGUAUGGCUUCGGAAUGGGUGUGACUGGAGCAGCUCUCUCCACUGUUUUAUCUCAGUACAUUGUUGCCUUUUUGAUGAUCAGGUAUUUAAACAAGAGAGUUGUAUUAAUGCCUCCAAAGAUGGGGGCAUUGCAAUUUGAUACCUACAUAAAAUCUGGUGGUUUUCUUAUAGGAAGAACUCUUGCAGUGCUAAUAACAAUGACACUGGGGACUUCUAUGGCUGCUCGUCAAGGUUCAUUGUCUAUGGCUGCACAUCAGAUAUGCAUGCAAGUAUGGCUGGCUGUAUCUCUUCUUACUGAUGCACUUGCAGCAUCUGGUCAGGCCUUGAUUGCAAGUUCUCUAUCUAAAGGUGAAUUAAAGACUGUGAAGGAAAUUACGAACUUUGUGUUGAAGAUAGGGUUUGUCACAGGUGUUUCAUUGGCUGCAAUCUUGGGUGUAUCCUUUGGUUCUUUGGCCACCUUGUUCACCCAAGAUACUGAAGUUCUAGGAAUUGUUAAAACUGGGAUACUGUUCGUCAGUGCUAGUCAACCAAUAAAUGCUUUAGCAUUUAUAUUUGAUGGUCUCCAUUAUGGUAUCUCAGACUUCCCAUAUGCAGCUUGUUCCAUGAUGUUGGUGGGUGCGAUGUCUUCUGCAUUUUUGCUCUUUGCUCCUACAGUUCUUGGUCUUCGAGGAAUUUGGUUGGGCAUGACUCUCUUUAUGGGUCUGCGAAUGACAGCAGGAUUUGUCAGAAUACUAUCAAAAACGGGGCCUUGGUGGUUCCUGCAUAGGGACUUUGAGAGAGCUGAGUUCAGUGUAUGUUCAUAAAACCACAGUUCAGAGCUGGUUAAGAUUCUCAAACUGUAGAGUGGAACUCUUGCUUCAGGUGAGCCAGCCAUGCAGUCUUUGAAAAGUGGGGGACGCAAAAAUGUCUCUAAGCUUUUUAUCUCCCCUGAAUCCAGUAGCCAGUAUCACCAAAUCUGUCUUUAGAGGUGAAUCUUCAUCAUCUACCAUUAUGCCUUCUUCACAGAAGCUUAUAUUUUGGGUCUUUUUCGGUAAGAUGCUUCCUUCCUCAACUCUGUCAUAGAAGUUUUUUGGCACUGUGGAGGUCAAACAGGAGCUAAAUUCUUUAUGAAAGCUGUGCUUUGGUACCAUCCCAAACUUUGCCAGAGGCAGUUUCCAUUUGAUAUAACUCUCGACAAAUUUUGAGAAUACCCAUCUCUGUUUAAUAGCAAAGAACCAAUUUCAGUCUGCUGCAGUUAAUUUCCUGAAGGUGCUCAAGAUGUACCUUAGAUAAGAAAUUUUAUUAGUUACCAGACGUGAAAGAAUUGUUGCCAAUGAACCGAGGAGGAAGCCUUCACCAGGCUUAUGAACCAAAAGCUCUGAGAAGCGAUUGAGGAAUAAAUAAGCUAGUGGCACUCCCCACGGAAGGUAAUUGGGGACGCCCCGCUGUUCGGCCUUGUAUAAUACUGUACAAGGAAGUUCUACACCUGGAAGCAGGAUUAGAUGGAAACUUAAUGUCAAAGAAAAUCCAGCCUGUGGGUUUUGCAUACAUCUUAGAACUAAAGAAGCUUUGUAAUCUUACCAUUUGCUGUAGAACAUUCCAUUGCGGUGUCCAAGGCAGAUUUCUGGAGUCCGACAACAACAAUUCGCUUCCCUUUGAUGCAUUUAGCGGCAAGUUUGUAAUCCAUGGCAGCAUAAUCCAUGGAGUGUAUUACCUCACCGUGAAAGGUUUCUGGCCCUUUUCCUGGAGGAAACGAUGGAAUGUUUGGAAUGCCGCUGAACCGGCCUAGGCCAAGGACUACAAAGUCCCACCUGAAUGAUUCUGGGUGUCCUGUACUACAACAUUCCACUUUCCUUUGGAGCUGAAGGGCUCAUCAGUCCCACCCCAGAGAUGCCAAGAUCGCAUCUCUUCAUCCGUUGGCCCUUCGAAGUCAAUGCUAACGACUUUGGCAUUGAAUCUGACAUGCCGAAGCAAGUCAAAAUGAUGGGCAUAAGCUUCAAUAUACUCCAGCACUUGAUGCUGGCUAGGGAGCUCUUCUGCGACUGAAGAUUGCCAUGGAAAAUCUGAGAACUGAUAAAAUUGUUUUGAGGUCUGAAGUUUUGUCCUCUCAAGUGCUGUGGUCCGAACUCCUCCGAUGCUGCUUUGGGACUCGAAAACUGUCGGAUGGAAACCCUUUGAGAGGGUGUACUUGCAUGCGAGGAGGCCGCUAAUACCAGCUCCGAUGAUGGCUAUUUGCUUCUCCAUUUGAUCAACAUGUUCGGACACUGAAACUUGGUACACUCAACCAGUUUUCUCCCAUCAAAGAAAAUCUUGAAACCAUGACUACUUAGCUGAUACGUAAGGUAGGUUCGUCACUUGAACCGAGUGAUUGAUUAAUCGUUAGAAAAGAUUUAAGCAAAUAAAUAAACACCCUUCACGUGAA
Non-coding RNA from Theobroma cacao (cacao), 3591 nucleotides. Lineage: Eukaryota; Viridiplantae; Streptophyta; Magnoliopsida; Malvales; Malvaceae. The record is from RefSeq and is a predicted model, not a curated record.